Coturnix japonica (Japanese quail) is the source of this 1587-nucleotide long non-coding RNA. The record is from Ensembl. NCBI's taxonomy places the organism in Eukaryota, Metazoa, Chordata, Aves, Galliformes, Phasianidae.
CCACCUAUUUCUGAUCACUCAAUAAGGAGACAUUUUACUUUUCAUUCCUCCUCCCUUCUAUUUCCUACCAGGCCUAUAUAAAGCUGCUAAAUGUGAAUUUCUUUCUACUAUUAACAAAUGGACUAGGAAACAAGAGGAGUUCUAAAUACUAUUUACUUUGGUAAUACAAACUAAUAGCUGUAAAGUGCAGUAUUGGCUGAGAGUCACGGUGAGUAACUGACUUCCUAAGUGCUGCUAGUGAUAUCAAAAGACCAAAAAAAGACUGUCCCUUGAACUAAAACAGCUUUAAAACUGUAAAUCUUGUGCCCAGCCCCAUCCCGAGGAACUUGUGGAGUGAGAUCACAUCAAGUUUUGCACUCUUUCUUAUCUAUAUGCUCCUGAGAUAACUGGGUCACAGUAUCAAACACACCCUCACAGAAGGAUUAGGGUGUGGGUCCUAAUUAAUUUCUUGCCAAUUUGCAGGUGGGAUGAUUGCCCUCUGAUUUAUAUACCACUCAGCUUAGCAGAAAGAAAGAAGCUUGGUUUUUUGUCCUCUUCUGACUAAGGGUUUUACUGAUAUUCCUGUCUCCUAAAGCCUAACAGUUCUCUGGAGAAGUCUGCCAGCAGGAUUAUUGCUGUACGCCUUCAUCAUGGGAAAUAAUAUCAGCCACGAGAGCUAUUGCAGGAGGUCUGGGAAGCCUGAAAAGCAAGCAGCUGAGCAAGAAAAGGCAGAAGCUGAUCCUUCUACUGCCCAGGAAUCUCUGCUGGGGAGCAGUGAGAAUCCUCUUCCAAAGGAGAAAUCGCUGGAUGCUGCUGUGGGGAUGCAGAACAAAGAGACAGAAACAGCCUCAUCUUCCCUGCAAUGCAUGCAGGAUUCUGUGCCACAGGCAGCAGUACAAAGCAUGGAGAUGGAAGACCAUGGAGGGUGCUGCAACAGCUCAGCCAGCUGCAGGAGAUGCAGAAGUGACAAAAACUGACCUGGCUCUGCAAGCUGCUGGAGAGGUGGGAGAUAAAGAGGCAGAAGAUGUGGUGACCAACCAGGCAGCAGUGGAAAAACACUCGUCGGUGUACAAGAGAUCGAGUGGAAGGCUGUGCAAGCCAAGUCCUCUCUGCAGGUGGCUGAAGAAACUCAAGUCCUCUGCUGAGAAGAAGUAAGGUCAGGACUGAAGCAAUUACCACUCAAGAGUGAGGCUUCCUAUGAACUAUAAAAGGACUAUUAAGUGCCUCCUGGGAGAGGGGAAAAAAAGACUAAGUGUUAAAGUAGAAAGAAAAUAUUUUGUCAUCUUCAAGCUGUAUGUCUGCUGUGUAGUUCUGGCUGUUGUACAGGCCUGGGUGCAAUAUAGAGGGCAUCCCAUCUGGAUGUAAGAGAAAGGGAAACCUGAACUCCAGCUUGUGAGCUUGCCUUUUUCUGCUGCUUGCUGGGCUUUGUCUUUAAUAGCUUUCUUUCUGAACCUAUGUAAAAGUGCAGUGUACAGAUUUCUAUCUUUAUGGUGCUUCCCACCACUGUUUGACUUCCCUUCGCUUGCUUUUAAUAACUUGCUCUGUCUGAUUAGGCCAAGCUUAGUGCAUUAGUAUUAUCAAACUGAAUAAAUGCCUUGUAAAAAAACA